Molecule: long non-coding RNA, 1278 nt
Organism: Dendroctonus ponderosae (mountain pine beetle)
Lineage: Eukaryota; Metazoa; Arthropoda; Insecta; Coleoptera; Curculionidae
Exons: 3
Source: RefSeq, a predicted model, not a curated record
UUAGAAGUCAUGAAGUGGUUCAUUAAUCAUUGAUUAAACCAUUAAAUCAUAUUGCUAACAUCAUUGGCGUGCUUUACAAAAGGGGAGUACAUAGUGUUGUUUAUUUGCAGGAGCGAAGACAUCCGAAAACACGUCUUUUAGUUCAAGUUAGUCAGUUUUUGUGAUUUUUGAUGUUGUUUCGUUGUUGCCAAUUAAGGAGUGGAAAACGGAUUCUAUGAACAGACAGAUGGAGUAGCAAUGGAGAGCCCCCUUCGUCCGGUGAUAGUUAACUACUUUAUGGAGAAAUUUUAAAUGAACGCUCUGGACACAGCCGCGACGAAACCUAAGCGUUGGUUUUGAUAUGUUGAUGACACUUUUGUUGUUUGGGGCAUGGUUUGGUUGAACUUAGACUUCCUGAGGCACCUCAACUCAAUAAACCCAAAAAUACAGUUCACUAUGGAAGUGGAGAAGAAUGGGCGACUGCCAUUUUUAGAUGUCUUGGUAACUAGAAAAACCAACGAAAAGCUGGCCCACACGGUGUACAGAAAACCGACACAUACCGACCCGUACCUGCACAGUGGAUCAAACCAUCAUCCCAGUCGAAAAAGAGGAGUCAUUAAAACCCUCACCGAAAGAGUCAGAAGAAUUUGCGAACCAGCUGAGUUAGAAAGAGAAUUGAAACACCUAGAAAGGACAAUUUGUUGGAAUGGCUACAGCAAGAACGAGUUCAAUAGAGCAAUUCGACCAAGAAACAGUGGAGAAAAAGUAAGGGUUGGGCUUGCCUCCCAUACAUACAUGGAGUCACGGACAGGAUUGGCAGGAUACUGGAGAAACACAAAGUCAAAACAGUUUUUAAAUCAACCCGAACAAUCCAACAGACUUUGAGAUCGGCCAAGGACAAACGGGAUCCUUUAUCAGCACGUAUAUGCAGUUGUGGCAGACCAUCGACACCACAAAACGUAGUGUAAACACUAGGAUCACGGAGCAUAAACGAAGUUGCAGAUUAGGACAAACAGAAAAAUCAACAGUAGCGGAGCACGCACUUCUAGACGGCCACCACAUACGUUUCGACGAAGUGGACAUUUUGCACCAAUCUCAACGGAAAGAAGAAGUAACGUCCCUUAAUCCAGAUUGGAAACCCGUUUUGCGGCAAACAGCGUGUGCUCCAAAACAAUUGAAGCCCCGCCCACUCCUCACGCAUUAGCUCACACGGCUGGGCCGCAUUAGUACGACAGGGGAUCCAGUAGUUGAACCAGUCUUAGUCGGAAAGCACGGGAGAUCACUUCGCCCACUGCCUCA